UAAAGCAUAUUUUAACAAAUGCUUAGCUUGAGAUAAAUAAAGAAUGAGUCUAAUAUGUCAGAGUAUAAAGCUGACAGAUACGUGUUCAGAGUACAUUUAACUAAAGUUUAUCUCUGUGUUCUUCAGUUCUGCACAUUAGGCCCCCAGGAUGACAUUUUCUGGAUGCCUGAUUACAUUAUCUGUGCCCAGCACAGAAGUACUGACCUGAAAGUUUUGUUUAAGUGACCAUCAAACAACCCUUUUCUAUAAUGGGUCACAAGCAUAGACAGGAUUCAGUACUCCAAAGCAACAUAAAUUCUUGCCUUAAUUAUGAACUCCUCACUUCUUAAACAAUUUUCUGCCUCGUUUAGGACAUAUCCUUAGAGAAAUAAUGUAGAAAUCUAACUGCUUAGUUCACAGAUAAACUUAAAUCAUUAUGUGCAUUUAUAUUUUGAACUGAACAUGGCAAUGGUGAGAAAAACGUAAAGGGGAAACCUCAGCAUACAAUUGUGUUUACAGUAUCAGUGUGCUUACAUAUGCAGGACUAAGUUAAGGAUUUCAAGAUGACAGGAAAAUAACCUUUCUUUUAUGUCAGUAUUGGAUUUUUAGCAUGAUCAUUAGGAAAUAAUAUCUGUGCACUUUGAAUGCAUUUAUUACAUGUUCAACUUUCAACUUUCAAGGUCAAUUGUUUGUACUAAUCACAAAUUCUUCCUCACCUUUUUGCAAUAACGGAGCUUCAGUACUUCAUUUCUCUGUCUGACUACUGCUCCUUUUCAGAUCACACUAGUAAACUACAGAUUGAUUGUCUAUACUAUUAAGCUUUAUAUUAUUAUUAUUACUAUUAUUAUUGUACCUUCACAGUGCCAAUACUUGUUUGGAUACCUUUACCUUCAUAUACAAUAAAAAAUUUUAAUGGUAUCUCAAUAUGCUAACCUGUUUCUUGUUCACAAUUUCAUAAAAUAAUAUUUCUGUGCUACUUUUUAUUCUGUGUUCAGUUCUGCUAACUUGUGCAAAAAUCCUUUCCCUCCAUGACCAUUAAGGGUCCCUUCCAACUCAAAUGAUUCUGUGAUUCUGCAGACUGGGAUUGUUCAGUUGGGAGAAAAGGAGGCUCAGGGGAGAGACUCUGUUGCUCUUUACAACUACUUGAAAGCAGGUCGUAGCGAGGCGGGGGCCGAUCUCUUCUCCCAGGGUCCGGAGUCCCCAUGCUGCUCACUCUCAGGAGAGCAGCUCUGUGAGGAGGUAGCAGCUCCCCUGUGUGCUUCUGUUUCCGAGAGAGGAGAUGGAGAUGUCCAAGGAACAGGAGAAGAUCUGUUCUCAGCUCGACAAAGGGCUGCCGAGCAUACGGGAACGCUGCCAGGUGGGCCGCAGGCCACAGCAAGCAGUGCUGCCAGGCAGCUGGAACCAGGAAUCAUCCCUCCAUGAGGUUCAUCUGCCGUCACUACCCCACCUGGAGAGCGCUCAUGCCCCUGGGACUCACAGUGCACAGGCGGGCAGGAAGAAGCUCAGACAGGCACCACCCCACAGCAGUGACUCCAGGGAGGGCAGAUAGCAACCUUCGCCAAGGCAGGCAGUGCCACUGGCAGGUGCACCCUGGCAUGCAGCUUCUGCACGUACAGGAGUUCACAAAUUGCCCGCUCUGCAAGCACCAACCUCCAUGCAUUCCCUGAGAAGCAGUCACCAUGCCAUGGGAUCUACAGCUUGCAGACUGCCUGCACUUGUUCCAUGUCCUCCAGGCAAUGCUCAGCAGCAGGAUAUGGCAGUGAGGGCCGAGAGCUGGGAGGCAGAUAUACUAGUCCCUGUGCCCCCACUUCAACCAGCACACAAAACAACCAAGUCGCUGGCGUUGGCACAUCUUAGGCAACCAGUAGCUGCAAUGCCAAGAAUUUGCCAGAAGCCAGUAGCUGCAAGACCAAAACCCUGCCAGAAACCGGCAGGUCUACAGCAAGGCCCACCCACCUGCACCCUAGUGUAGUGGGCCGGCUGCCAGGAUGUGUCAGCAAAUGCUGAGAGGGGGUGGCUUUUGUGUAGGGGGUGCUACGUGGGGAGCAGUAUGAAGCCCGUGCAGCUCCAGGAAGCGUGGCAGCUGUGACCAGGGGCUCAAUGCUACCCUUGGGGCUCUCUGCAGGGCCUUCUGGAAGCCUGUCCAGCAGGUACAUGUGCGGUGUGAAAAGACAGGGUCCUGCUAAAUUAGCUUUUCUCCUCCAUUUCUCUUGCAGGCGGACAAGCUGGAGCUCAGGGAGGCACUGGCCUGCAACAGUGUCCCCAAGGAAGGGAGACAGCCUCAGUCAACUUCUGGAGCAUCUCUCUUUGUUCCUGCACCCCCAAUCCUGCCUGCACAUGCCACACAAAAGUCACUUGAGUUGGCAUAUUGUGGACGUCCAGUAGCCAGAAGACCAAAACCCAGCCAGAAACCAGCAGGUCCACAGCAAGGCGCGCCCACCUGCACUCUGGGAACAAGAAGAACUGCCUGGGCGCUGACCUCCAAGGCUGGGAGUGGCCCCACAGAUAAGAGACCAGGUCCCAGUGCUCAGGAGGGCAGAAGAGACGAUGAUGGGGCUUCUACCUCAUGUUCCCUCACAGCACAACAGGCAGCAGAUGAUGGUGCCAGAGGCAGGCCCUUCUCAGAAUAUGCCGGGUGUCAGAUACAUGUGCUAUAGGCCACUCUCCCUUAUUAGAGUGCACGCGUACCUGUCCUGCAGUCUUUGCAAAUGCAACUAUGUUGUUCAAAAGGAUGUCAAGAAGAGUUGGAAGGAAGCCCUGAGAGAGAUGCUGCAGCAGGGGAAGCUGAAGUCCCAAUGAGAACACUGCACAUACCAGGUGUGGGGGGCACCACGCACCUAGUCCCACCUCACUGCAAAGUGGCUUAGGAGACCACAAGCCUGUGCUUUUUUCCUACGGGACAAUUGAGAAGACAGCCCUGAGUAAAACAGAGCAGCUGAGGCAGCCAACAUCCCAGCAAGCAUGUCUGGAGCCUAAUCUGGUGAGGCAGAGGCCAAGCCUUUGGCUUCUGGUGUGGCUGCAAACCCAACAGCACCAGGUCGUUCUAGGUGCCAAUGAUGCUGAUGGCCCACCUCUGCCAGGAUGGCACUCUGGUCUCUGAGCAGGGGUUUCACCUGCAGCUGCAUCAAGGGACAGGAGGAGGAAGAGUCACGAGGCUGCUGGCACCAGGCAGCUCUCUGCAGAUGGCUGCUGCCAACUCAAGGAUUUUGGAAUUUUGAAUAAAUCUUUUCUUAACUCCGUCCCGGCUGUGCGCCUGUGUGUGCUCGUUCUCUGUGUGCACUUAAUGGCGUACAGUCCCUGUACUGUGGUGCCAGUGACUGGAGUGUGAUCUCUGGCUAGUGAAGGGCAAACCAGAUCAGCCGGUAAUGCAACUUUUGAAAAUUUUGCACUCUUGAUUAUAAAAAUAGGCAAAGUAGGACAUGUGGGAUGUCCUAAUGUGUCCUCUAGUUUAUUGCAAUCCCUUACAUGUAAAAAGAGAGUAAAUUCAUUACAAAGAGACACAGUGUAACAGCUAAUUACAAUAGUGCAAAAAAUGCAGGAAGUUUUAGAAUAUCUGUCACCUCAAGAGGUUCUUGUUUUGUUUUUUGUUGUUGCUUUGUUUAUGGAUUUAUUCCCUUUCUUUUCCUAUGAUACAAUAAAGCUUUAUUUCUUGCCUUUAGAAUGGAUACUACUAAAUGUUCAUAAACAGAUUCUUUCGAAUUCAUGCCAAAAUGUAUCCAAGGUCUUUGAAGUCCAAAGAAUAUUUUAAGCAAUUUACAGCUAGCAUGAAAUGCUCCUCUUAGUAAUUUGAUAUAUAAACUAUAUAUUACUAGAACCAACAUUAACACGUUAUCAGAAAAGUCUCUCAAAAUACUUACAGUUUCAUUACGUUUCAUCACCAUGAAAAUUCACACAAGGAUUAGAAGUGAGAUUACAAAUGGGAAUUAUUUUUAUGAAAAUUAGUUAGGUCUUGCUCCAAACUCAUAUGCUUCUGAUUCAUUUAGAGUCAGUCUGUAUCAGGUCAACUCAGUUUUCAUUUCAUUAGGGAUGAACAUACGUCAAACAUUGUUGCCUGGGUUGAGACUUUCAAAGAUCUACAAAAUCUAAACUACACUGACCUGAAGUAACAUUGAUGCUUGUCACCUCAAAUGAACAUCAGCAAAGGCAUUGGUACAACAGAGCCUAUAAGGAAUGCAAAUACUCUCUUGUUAUGACUAGGGAGACCCAGAGGCAUCUUGUUCUGGUUUGGAUACAGACUUCCUUUAGAUUGAUAAUGUUUUGUGUGUUGGCUUCUAAAUUUCCUCUUGGAUUUUGAGUGGUUGAGCCUUGAUUAUAUUCUGACUUUUUGCUAUUCCAUUCUUCAUUUUCACUGUAUCUCUUAGUGAUCCUAGGGCCAAAGUAAUUACGUGUGAAA
Molecule: non-coding RNA, 4372 nt
Organism: Meleagris gallopavo (turkey)
Lineage: Eukaryota; Metazoa; Chordata; Aves; Galliformes; Phasianidae
Source: RefSeq, a predicted model, not a curated record